Molecule: long non-coding RNA, 1212 nt
Filed under: Homo sapiens (human)
Lineage: Eukaryota; Metazoa; Chordata; Mammalia; Primates; Hominidae
Description: non-protein coding lnc-CD40-2:1
Source: RNAcentral
CCUGGGUAGAGUGCAAUGGUGCCAUCACGGCUCACUGCAGCCUCCAUCUCCUGGGCUCAAGCCAUCCUCCUGACUCACUGAGCCUCCCGAGUAGCUGGGACUGCAGGUGCGUGCCACCACGCCCAGCUAAUUUUUUUUUUUUUUUUUUCAGAGACAGGGUUUCGCUAUGUUGCCCACACUGGUCUCGAACUACUGAGCUCAAGCGAUCCGCUCGCCUUGGCCUCCCAAAGUGUUGAGGUUACAGGCAUGAACCACUGCACCCUGCCGAUUCUUAUCUUUCCCUAAGAGGUGCCCCUGGAACUGAGCUUGAAGGCAGAGACCGGGAGUGUGGGUGGCGUUCUGGGCAGGGGAAACAGAAGGUGCAAAGGCGCGGCGGCUGAGAAUUAUCCCAGAAAUGGCAAACACUGCAAAAUGGUUCGAACCGGGAAGUGGGGAGAAUUCGGCACCAGAACACACCGGCACAGCACAGUUGGCGUGUACUGGGGAGCCAACGGGGAAUUUUGAGCAGGGGAGAGGGGGGCAGUUGUGGCAUUAGGAGGCUUCUCUGGGGGCCGCGGCGUGGACACGCCCAGGGACACGCGCUGGGCGAGUGCCGUGGGAGGGGGCCUGGGGACACGGCCGCCGGCUCCUCCCGCCUGCGCAGCACGCGCGAGCUAAUCUGCAGCUUUUCCGUUGCCGCGUGAAAAAGCCCUUUGUUCCGCCUUCUUCCCGGGCCUUUGUGUGGCGGCUCCAGGCCUUAAAGGCCCGUGUCCAACACAUGUCUCGGGCGGCGGCGGCCCAGAGAGGCCUCGCCAGCUCCGGCCUCCGCUUCCCCAUGCUGAUAACGCUGGUGGGGGCGCCGCGAGGCUGCGCGCGGACAAAGGCCUCGAAUGCCAAGCAAGCGCUCAUUGUGCGCCAGGACAAAGCAGCCUGGGGCCUUUUGGGGCAAACCUCUGUCACUCCCCUUCCUGGUGCAUAAACUACUCACCCCUCCCUGGAGCUCCUCAAGCCCCUGCCUCAGCCCAAGCCCACUUGGACCUGGACCUGUCACUGGAUUCGUUCACACGGGCCAAGCUUUCCCACUGGCCCAUGUCUGAGGCCAUCAUCUCUGUGGCCAGUGCACAGGGGAGGACGCUGCACCAGUUUAGGAACUGCACUAACCACAAGGAGAGUAAGAAGCAGGAGUGAAAUGGCCAAAGGCUGGAUUCAGGAAGUGGUGAGUCAUGGGUCAAA